UACGUAGGGUGCAAGCGUUAAUCGGAAUUACUGGGCGUAAAGCGUGCGCAGGCGGUUUUGUAAGUCUGUCGUGAAAUCCCCGGGCUUAACCUGGGGAAUUGCGAUGGAGACUGCAAGGCUAGAAUCUGGCAGAGGGGGGUAGAAUUCCACGUGUAGCAGUGAAAUGCGUAGAGAUGUGGAGGAACACCGAUGGCGAAGGCAGCCCCCUGGGUCAAGAUUGACGCUCAUGCACGAAAGCGUGGGGAGCAAACAGG
RNAcentral lists this ribosomal RNA (254 nucleotides) under uncultured bacterium. RNAcentral's name for it is "partial 16S ribosomal RNA". It matches the Rfam family "Bacterial small subunit ribosomal RNA", at positions 524 to 776 of the family's 1533-position model. The record is from RNAcentral.